AGGGGUUCCAAAGAAGGUGCAAGUCCUGUACAUUGAGAUUACUGGUUGAUAUUUGCGUGCUUUAGAGUCGGGUUGCUUGGGAUCGCAGCCCAAAGUCGGUGGUAAACUUCAUCUAAGACUUAAUAUUGCCACGAGUCCGAUAGCAAACAAGUACUGUGAAGGAAAGUUGCAAAGCACUUUGAAGAGAGAGUUAAAGAGGACGUGAAACCGGUGAGGUGGAAACGGAUAGAGUCGGCGUAUCUUGCAAGUAUUCAUUUACAUUAUUUUUGUGUUGUGAUCUCUGAGCUCCAGAUUGGGACAGAGGAAAGCAGCAUGAUUUUUUGUGAUGCAUUUGCUUGCUUGGUGCGUGGGGGUAUUUGAGGUGGAUUUGUGACCGCUAUUUUGAGGCCAGCUUGCUGGUACCCAAAUGGUGUUAACAUUUUUUGCUUUGGAUAUUUGAGUAUGGCUUACGGGCAUUUAUUGGUUCGAUCUGAGUGUAAGUUACGGUCGCAUGCGACACGUGCUUUUCAAUUAGUUCGGUCCAGUUAAUGCUCUCGUACUCUUUCCCCAUGUAAAAGCCGGUCAUCUAUCCGACCCGUCUUGAAACACGGACCAAGGAGUUUAUCGUGUGCGCAAGUUUUUGGGUGUUAAAAACCUAAAAGCGAAAUGAAAGUAAAUGAUUCUUUAGAGUCUGAUGUGCGAUCUUUUUUCAAAAAAGUGCAGCAUGGCCCCAUUCUAACUGUUUACAGUAGGGUGGCGGAAGAGCGUACGCGGUGAGACCCGAAAGAUGGUGAACUAUUCCUGAGCAGGACGAAGCCAGAGGAAACUCUGGUGGAAGUCCGAAGCGGUUCUGACGUGCAAAUCGAUCGUCUGACUUGGGUAUAGGGGCGAAAGACUAAUCGAACCAUCUAGUAGCUGGUUCCCUCUGAAGUUUCCCCCAGGAUAGCUGGAGCUCACGAGUAGUUAUACUCGGUAAAGCGAAUGAUUAGAGGACUUGGGAACGAAAUGUUCUUAACCUAUUCUCAAACUCUAAAUGGGUAUGAUGUCAAAGUUGCUUGAUUUUGAACUUUGGCGUUGAAUACGAGCUCCAAGUGGGCCAUUUUUGGUAAGCAGAACUGGCGAUGUGGGAUGAACCAAACGCGGAGUUGCGGUGCCAAAGUGCCCGCUCAUUAGACCCCAUAAAAGGUGUUGGUUGAUACAGACAGCAGGACGGUGGCCAUGGAAAGUCGGAAUCCGCUAAGGAGUGUGUAACAACUCACCUGCCGAAUCAACUAGCCCUGAAAAUGGAUGGCGCUGGAGCGGGCCACCUAUACUCUGCCGUCAUUUGCUUGUAUUUUUAUUAAAAAGUCUUGCAAUGACGUGUAAGAGGGUCGUAGUGGUUGCGUUGAAGGCUUUGGGUGUGCACCCAGCUGGAGCUUCCACUAGUGCAGAUCUUGGUGGUAGUAGCAAAUAUUCAAGUGAGAGAUCCUUGAAGACUGAAGUGGAGAAGGGUUCCACGUGAACAGCAGUUGAAUGUGGGUCAGUCGAUCCUAAGGCACCGGCUAAUGCCGUCUAGACACUGAGGGGAGAUAAAAUACUUAACGGUAUUUUGUCCACCCGGUUGCCGAAAGGGAAGUGGGUUAAUAUUCCCACACCAGGCAUGGGAGAUGGUGAUCCGCAAGGAUUACUUUGCGCGGUGACGCAAACGAACUCGUAGACCUCGUGUGGAGUCCGGGCCAGAGUUCUCUUUUCUGGUUUAGAGAUCAUGUCCCUGGAAGUGGCUCAGCCUGAGAUAGGGAUGCUGGUCUCGUAAAGCGCAGCGGUUCCUGUUGUGUCCCGUGUGCUCCACAUGAGCCGUGAAAAUGCGAGGGAGGCAAUUAUAAAAUCUCCUGCCUGAUCGUACCCAUAUCCGCAGCAGGUCUCCAAGGUGAACAGCCUCUAGUCGAUAGAAUAAUGUAGGUAAGGGAAGUCGGCAAAUUAGAUUCGUAACUUCGGGAAAAGAAUUGGCUCUAAAGGUUGGGUCAGUCGGGCUGUUGUGUGAAAUAGGUGGACUUUGCCCGUGGCUGCUUGCGCUUCCUUUCGGGGCGGUGCUUGUGGACUAGUGGUGAGGACUACUUAUGGAGCGCUUCAGCUGCGUGCUAUUUCGCAAGAUUUAGUACUUCGAUUGGCGCUGAACAACCAGUUUAAGAACUGGCACGAACUUCCGGGAAUCCGACUGUCUAAUUAAAACAGAGGAGACGGAUGGUCCUUGCAGGACGUUGACCGUGUCUGAUUUCUGCCCAGUGCUCUGAAUGUUAAGCCAAGGAAACUUGAUUAAGCGCGGGUAAACGGCGGGAGUAACUAUGACUCUCUUAAGGUAGCCAAAUGCCUCGUCGGCUAACUACCGACGCGCACGAAUGGAUCAACGAGAUUCCCACUGUCCCUAUCUACUAUCUAGCGAAACCACAGCCAAGGGAACGGGCUUGGCAAAUUUAGCGGGGAAAGAAGACCCUGUUGAGCUUGACUUCUAGUCUGACUUUUGUGAAGAAUCAUGAGAGGUGUAGCAUAAGUGGGAGUCGCAAGACAACAGUGAAAUACCACUACUUUCAUCGAUUCCUUACUUAAUCGGUAAAACGGGAGUUGUGUCUACGGACCUUCAUUUUUGUUUUAAGACUAGCCACUCGGUGGUUGGUUGACUCGCGCCGAUGACAUUGUCAGGCGGGGAGGUUUGACUGGGGCGGUACAUCUGUCAAAUUGUAACGCA
Non-coding RNA from Meloidogyne hapla, 2701 nucleotides. NCBI's taxonomy places the organism in Eukaryota, Metazoa, Nematoda, Chromadorea, Rhabditida, Meloidogynidae. The record is from Rfam.